Molecule: ribosomal RNA, 433 nt
Filed under: uncultured bacterium
Lineage: Bacteria
Description: partial 16S ribosomal RNA
Rfam family: Bacterial small subunit ribosomal RNA
Source: RNAcentral
AACGAACGCUGGCGGCAUGCCUAACACAUGCAAGUCGAACGAGACCUUCGGGUCUAGUGGCGCACGGGUGCGUAACGCGUGGGAACCUGCCCUUAGGUUCGGAAGAACUCCCCGAAAGGGGUGCUAAUACCGGAUAAUGUCUUCGGACCAAAGAUUUAUCGCCUUUGGAUGGGCCCGCGUUGGAUUAGCUAGUUGGUAGGGUAAAAGCCUACCAAGGCGACGAUCCAUAGCUGGUCUGAGAGGAUGAUCAGCCACCCUGGGACUGAGACACGGCCCAGACUCCUACGGGAGGCAGCAGUGGGGAAUAUUGGACAAUGGGCGAAAGCCUGAUCCAGCAAUGCCGCGUGAGUGAUGAAGGCCUUAGGGUUGUAAAGCUCUUUUACCCGGGAUGAUAAUGACAGUACCGGGAGAAUAAGCUCCGGCUAACUCCGUG